RNAcentral lists this small RNA (476 nucleotides) under Fusarium oxysporum. RNAcentral's name for it is "eukaryotic LSU rRNA". The stretch from base 168 to 321 matches the Rfam family "5.8S ribosomal RNA". Lineage: Eukaryota; Fungi; Ascomycota; Sordariomycetes; Hypocreales; Nectriaceae. The record is from RNAcentral.
CCUGCGGAGGGAUCAUUACCGAGUUUACAACUCCCAAACCCCUGUGAACAUACCACUUGUUGCCUCGGCGGAUCAGCCCGCUCCCGGUAAAACGGGACGGCCCGCCAGAGGACCCCUAAAACUCUGUUUCUAUAUGUAACUUCUGAGUAAAACCAUAAAUAAAUCAAAACUUUCAACAACGGAUCUCUUGGUUCUGGCAUCGAUGAAGAACGCAGCAAAAUGCGAUAAGUAAUGUGAAUUGCAGAAUUCAGUGAAUCAUCGAAUCUUUGAACGCACAUUGCGCCCGCCAGUAUUCUGGCGGGCAUGCCUGUUCGAGCGUCAUUUCAACCCUCAAGCACAGCUUGGUGUUGGGACUCGCGUUAAUUCGCGUUCCUCAAAUUGAUUGGCGGUCACGUCGAGCUUCCAUAGCGUAGUAGUAAAACCCUCGUUACUGGUAAUCGUCGCGGCCACGCCGUUAAACCCCAACUUCUGAAUGU